Molecule: ribosomal RNA, 429 nt
Filed under: Chloroflexota bacterium
Lineage: Bacteria; Bacillati; Chloroflexota
Description: Chloroflexi bacterium partial 16S ribosomal RNA
Rfam family: Bacterial small subunit ribosomal RNA
Source: RNAcentral
UGGGGAAUAUUGCACAAUGGGCGCAAGCCUGAUGCAGCCAUGCCGCGUGUCUGAAGAAGGCCUUCGGGUUGUAAAGUACUUUCAGCGGGGAGGAAGGGAUUAAAGUUAAUACCUUUGCUCAUUGACGUUACCCGCAGAAGAAGCACCGGCUAACUCCGUGCCAGCAGCCGCGGUAAUACGGAGGGUGCAAGCGUUAAUCGGAAUUACUGGGCGUAAAGCGCACGCAGGCGGUUUGUUAAGUCAGAUGUGAAAUCCCCGGGCUCAACCUGGGAACUGCAUCUGAUACUGGCAAGCUUGAGUCGCGUAGAGGGGGGUAGAAUUCCAGGUGUAGCGGUGAAAUGCGUAGAGAUCUGGAGGAAUACCGGUGGCGAAGGCGGCCCCCUGGACGAAGACUGACGCUCAGGUGCGAAAGCGUGGGGAGCAAACAGG